UUUCAAGCAAUUGAAGACGCAAAAGAGGAAGAGAUGAUAAGAAGGUGCUCAUAUAUUUUCUUCCAUUUCUGUCAAAUGGAAUAUCUGCUUACACCUUCACUUGCUCUGUUUCAUGCAUUUAAGAGGAAGAGAUGAUAACAAGGUGCUCAUAUAUUUUCUUCCAUUUCUGUCAAAUGGAAUAUCUGCUUACACCUUCACUUGCUCUGUUUCAUGCAUUGUAGUGCAGUAUGUUGUUACUGGUUCAUUACAUAGUUGCUGAUGAUGUAGGAGACUCUUCGGCAACGGAUGGUAUGAGAGUUUAGGUGGUGGAAAUUGGACGUCUCUCGCUAUUAAAUUAGUCUGUUGCUAGCCCUUAAAUAUUCUUUCAUGGCGGUUGUGAAAUUUGUACCACUGACCAGUAAGAUGAUUUUCCGUGUAAUUGGACUAAGGACGUUCUAAAUCGAUGAUAAAAGAUUUACAUAGAUAUACCUAAUUACAAACAAACAAAUAAAAAAAUACGGUGCUAUUCCACCUUCAAAAUAUAGCAACAAAAUCAUCGCAUAAUAUGUGCUACCUCCAACAAAAUCCACAAAGGGAUUUUAAAGAUAUGAUUCUUCUUAUCUUUUCU
Molecule: long non-coding RNA, 607 nt
Filed under: Nicotiana benthamiana
Lineage: Eukaryota; Viridiplantae; Streptophyta; Magnoliopsida; Solanales; Solanaceae
Description: long non-coding RNA (NBEN_LNC020381)
Source: RNAcentral